UGGGCAUCGCUACCGGUGGAUAAACACAGA
RNAcentral lists this non-coding RNA (30 nucleotides) under Mus musculus (house mouse). The record is from RNAcentral. Lineage: Eukaryota; Metazoa; Chordata; Mammalia; Rodentia; Muridae.